This 19-nucleotide non-coding RNA is filed under the name Arabidopsis thaliana (thale cress). The record is from RNAcentral. Lineage: Eukaryota; Viridiplantae; Streptophyta; Magnoliopsida; Brassicales; Brassicaceae. RNAcentral also lists the same sequence under 1 other name.
CGCGGGUAAACGGCGGGAG